AACGGCGAGUGAAGCGGGAAGAGCUCAAAUUUGAAAUCUUCAAGGUUUUACCUUGACGAAUUGUAGUUUAAAGAAGUGUUUUCUGUUGAAGUUUUGGUAAAAGUUCUUUGGAAUAGGACAUCAUAGAGGGUGAGAAUCCCGUAUUUGACCAUUAUUUUCAGCUGUGUGAUACACUUUCAAAGAGUCGGAUUGUUUGGGAAUGCAGUCCAAAAUGGGUGGUAAAUUUCAUCUAAAGCUAAAUAUUGGCGAGAGACCGAUAGCGAACAAGUACCGUGAGGGAAAGAUGAAAAGAACUUUGAAAAGAGAGUUAAACAGUACGUGAAAUUGUCAAAAGGGAAGCGUUUGACACCAGUGUUGUUUUCUCGAAAAUCAAUUAAAAAGAGUUAGAUUUUGUUGUGUAUUGACCUUAACAGCUUGCAUUUCAAUUUUCUUGCUUUUUUUAAUGCACUUUUCGUUUAACAAGUCAACAUCAGUUUCUUUUGUUGUAAAAAGGUCAUUGGAAGGUGGCUUUCUUUUCGGAGAAAGUGUUUAUAGCCUUUGACUCCUGCAAUCGGAGAGACUGAGGUCUGCAGCGUAGAUCCUUCGGGGUUAGAUACAUUUGUGCUAAGUUAUAGCUUUUUAUAGACAACUUGUUGACUAUGAUUAGUCUUGUAGCUUACUCGCUUAUGCUAUUUACCUAC
RNAcentral lists this ribosomal RNA (680 nucleotides) under Neocallimastigales sp. RNAcentral describes it as "partial large subunit ribosomal RNA". It matches the Rfam family "Eukaryotic large subunit ribosomal RNA", at positions 85 to 616 of the family's 3401-position model. The record is from RNAcentral. Lineage: Eukaryota; Fungi; Neocallimastigomycota; Neocallimastigomycetes; Neocallimastigales.